GAUGAACGCUGGCGGCGUGCCUAAUACAUGCCAGUCGAGCGAACGGACGAGAAGCUUUCUUCUCUGAUGUUAGCGGCGGACGGGUGAGUAACACGUGGAUAACCUACCUAUAAGACUGGGAUAACUUCGGGAAACCGUAGCUAAUACCGGAUAAUAUUUUGAACCGCAUGGUUCAAAAGUGAAAGACGGUCUUGCUGUCACUUAUAGAUGGAUCCGCGCUGCAUUAGCUAGUUGGUAAGGUAACGGCUUACCAAGGCAACGAUGCAUAGCCGACCUGAGAGGGUGAUCGGCCACACUGGAACUGAGACACGGUCCAGACUCCUACGGGAGGCAGCAGUAGGGAAUCUUCCGCAAUGGGCGAAAGCCUGACGGAGCAACGCCGCGUGAGUGAUGAAGGUCUUCGGAUCGUAAAACUCUGUUAUUAGGGAAGAACAUAUGUGUAAGUAACUGUGCACAUCUUGACGGUACCUAAUCAGAAAGCCACGGCUAACUACGUG
This 497-nucleotide ribosomal RNA is filed under the name uncultured bacterium. RNAcentral's name for it is "partial 16S ribosomal RNA". It matches the Rfam family "Bacterial small subunit ribosomal RNA", at positions 28 to 507 of the family's 1533-position model. The record is from RNAcentral.